Molecule: unclassified non-coding RNA, 363 nt
Filed under: uncultured bacterium
Lineage: Bacteria
Description: contains 16S-23S intergenic spacer region
Source: RNAcentral
UCCUGGUUAACCCAGGCAGUCUCGCGUGAAAAAUACAACACACGACAAGGGUUGCGCUCGUUGCGGGACUUAACCCAACAUCUCACGACACGAGCUGACGACGGCCAUGCAUCACCUGUCACCGAGCUCCUUGCGGCACUCUCUCCUUUCGGAGAGAUUCUCGGGAUGUCAAACCUGGGUAAGGUUCUACGCUUAAUGUCGCAUUAAACCACACGCUCCACCGCUUGUGCGGGUCCCCGUCAAUUCCUUUGAGUUUUAGCCUUGCGGCCGUACUCCCCAGGCGGGGUACUUAACGCGUUAGCUUCGAUACCCAGGGGGUCUAUGCCCCAGAUACCUAGUACCCAUCGUUUACGGCGUGGACUA